Molecule: ribosomal RNA, 491 nt
Filed under: uncultured bacterium
Lineage: Bacteria
Description: partial 16S ribosomal RNA
Rfam family: Bacterial small subunit ribosomal RNA
Source: RNAcentral
GUGAACGCUGGCGGUAGGCCUAACACAUGCAAGUCGCACGGCAGCACAGUAAGAGCUUGCUCUUACGGGUGGCGAGUGGCGGACGGGUGAGGAAUACAUCGGAAUCUACUUUUUCGUGGGGGAUAACGUAGGGAAACUUACGCUAAUACCGCAUACGACCUACGGGUGAAAGCAGGGGAUCUUCGGACCUUGCGCGAUUGAAUGAGCCGAUGUCGGAUUAGCUAGUUGGCGGGGUAAAGGCCCACCAAGGCGACGAUCCGUAGCUGGUCUGAGAGGAUGAUCAGCCACACUGGAACUGAGACACGGUCCAGACUCCUACGGGAGGCAGCAGUGGGGAAUAUUGGACAAUGGGCGCAAGCCUGAUCCAGCCAUACCACGUGGGUGAAGAAGGCCUUCGGGUUGUAAAGCCCUUUUGUUGGGAAAGAAAAGCAGCAGGUUAAUACCCCGCUGUUCUGACGGUACCCAAAGAAUAAGCACCGGCUAACUUCGUG